Molecule: ribosomal RNA, 600 nt
Filed under: Hanseniaspora uvarum
Lineage: Eukaryota; Fungi; Ascomycota; Saccharomycetes; Saccharomycodales; Saccharomycodaceae
Description: eukaryotic LSU rRNA
Rfam family: Eukaryotic large subunit ribosomal RNA
Source: RNAcentral
UCAUCAAGUUUGACCUCAAAUCAGGUAGGAUUACCCGCUGAACUUAAGCAUAUCAAUAAGCGGAGGAAAAGAAACCAACUGGGAUUACCUUAGUAACGGCGAGUGAAGCGGUAAAAGCUCAAAUUUGAAAUCUGGUACUUUCAGUGCCCGAGUUGUAAUUUGUAGAAUUUGUCUUUGAUUAGGUCCUUGUCUAUGUUCCUUGGAACAGGACGUCAUAGAGGGUGAGAAUCCCGUUUGGCGAGGAUACCUUUUCUCUGUAAGACUUUUUCGAAGAGUCGAGUUGUUUGGGAAUGCAGCUCAAAGUGGGUGGUAAAUUCCAUCUAAAGCUAAAUAUUGGCGAGAGACCGAUAGCGAACAAGUACAGUGAUGGAAAGAUGAAAAGAACUUUGAAAAGAGAGUGAAAAAGUACGUGAAAUUGUUGAAAGGGAAGGGCAUUUGAUCAGACAUGGUGUUUUUUGCAUGCACUCGCCUCUCGUGGGCUUGGGCCUCUCAAAAAUUUCACUGGGCCAACAUCAAUUCUGGCAGCAGGAUAAAUCAUUAAGAAUGUAGCUACUUCGGUAGUGUUAUAGCUUUUUGGAAUACUGUUAGCCGGGAUUGAGG